UACGAAGGAGGCAAGCGUUGUUCGGAUUUACUGGGCGUAAAGGAUGCGUAGGCUGAUUUUUAAGUGGGAUGUGAAAUUCCGAGGCUCACCCUCGGCGCUGCAUUCCAAACUGGAAGUCUAGAGUGCGGGAGAGGAAAGUGGAAUUCCUAGUGUAGCGGUGAAAUGCGUAGAGAUUAGGAAGAACACCAGUGGCGAAGGCGACUUUCUGGACCGUAACUGACGCUGAUGCAUGAAAGCGUGGGAAGCAAACAGG
Molecule: ribosomal RNA, 253 nt
Filed under: uncultured bacterium
Lineage: Bacteria
Description: partial 16S ribosomal RNA
Rfam family: Bacterial small subunit ribosomal RNA
Source: RNAcentral